ACACUCAUGACCCACCAGCUUGUAUCCUUGACUUCCUUUACUUUGUGACGAAACCCAACUCCAUUCAUGAAGAAAAAUGCGAGCUUUCAGCUUGGAGAGAGAGGGGGAUUGUUGAGACUUGAGAGUGUUUGUGCUUGCCUUGUGGUGUUGUUGUUGAGAGAGAAGGACAAUGCUCUCUGUUGUGUGAUUUAGAUUGGCAGUGGAUUGAGGAGCAGAAGAAACUAUGUAGCCAAAGAUAUAAAAUUCGGGUUUUUGGCCUGGGCUCUUUGUCUUAUGCUAAAGGGUGUGGUGGAGCUUGCUGUAGCCGUCAAAGUCACCAUGGGUCCUAAGCUUGCUGGUGCUACUGUGCAGUGGACUGGAAAGCAAUUUUUUUUAGUGUAGCUUGGUUGGUUUGUCAACUCAGGGAGGAAUAUGAAGUCUCCCUACCAAAAAUAUAAAAUUCGGGGUUUUGGCCCAGGCUCUUUGUCUUAUGCUAAAGGGUGUGGAGGAGCUUGCUGUCGCUGUCAAAUUUACCAUGGGUCCUAAGGUAUAUUCUAUGGCUACCAUAUGACACCAUUCUUUAAUAAUGUCUCAAUAAGAAUUUGGAUUAGCAUUGCUCUUUUUACUGACUUUAGGCCAAAAAUUUAAUUAUUUGUUGAAGUUCUCUAUAUCUGCUUCUUCAUAUAGCAGAUUUUGAAAUGGAUGGGAGAUAUGGUGCAAUAAAUGAGGUGACUAUUAUGUUACACUAUUGAAGGGUUGAGGAAAGACAUUAUAAAUGCAAUUGUUUUGGUUGUGCAAUACAGUUUACCUUGUCCAUUACCUUGUACUUAAGGCGUUACAUGACAGAUAGAAUAUAUAUUGAUCUCAUAUGCUUGGUUGUGAAUCUAUGUAGUCAUUUUUAAAAGUUAAAAUUGUGCUUCCAAUGAGCUGUAUUGUUUUACACCUUUUCUUUUUGGAUACAAGCAAGGCAUGAGUAGAUUGCAUACUAGUUUGUAAAAGCCACUGAAAUUUGCUGGACUGAGGUUAGCUGAACGGACAAAAAGCUCUAGGAAUCAAGCUCAGAUGAGUUGGCUGCGGCUGGCCCUAGAUCAGUCAGGAUGCCAAAUUACCUAUUACCAUCGCAGGCCAGGAUAGUUUGCCCUGCCUUGAUAACUCUAUGUAUCCUAAUAAGCCAAUCUAUGGACUAAGAAGAACAGCGUAUCAAAAUGGAUAUUGGAUCAGGUCAAUAAGCCGGCUUACACAGUCACUAAGCAUCACAAGUUCAGAAUUGCAUCUAGGGACUGGAGGCAUUCUAGGCAUCAAUUAUAUCAGUGAACGCUUUUGUCAACUUCAAAAUGACUGUCAGAUUAAAUAUCAAAAUACUUAUUUUAAAUUGUCCAUUUUGAUUUGCAAGAACGGAUGCUUAGUCCUAAAU
Molecule: long non-coding RNA, 1393 nt
Organism: Quercus lobata
Lineage: Eukaryota; Viridiplantae; Streptophyta; Magnoliopsida; Fagales; Fagaceae
Exons: 3
Source: RefSeq, a predicted model, not a curated record